GGGGUGGGUGUGCAUGAGCGUGUGUCUCCUUUGUCAAAGGGGUUAAGAGGAGAUACCACCAAGUGCUGUUCUUUUCUAUCCUGGCCAAGUCACGACUAAGCAGAGCAGCCUAGUACUGUUCUUUGUAGGCUUUUGCUUGUCUGCUUUUAAAUCUAAUUUCAGCUUUCCUGGCUGUAUUUACCAUUGAGCAAGUGCCUCACAGAAGGACAAGGUUCUCCAAUUUUCAGAUCAUUGUCUUAAAUUUUCUGAAAUACUAAUUUUUGAAUACUAUUUUAUGUGUUGAUUCCUGGGUGUUCCCAAUGUUGACAUGUUCUUCCCAUUCUUGAGAUGAGACACUUUUUUGCAAAAAUGGUUAAGCAGUAUUUUCCAAAGUUCUGUGAAAUGGUAAUAGAUGUUCCUUAAAAGGGUUCUGUGGUCAAAUAAGUCAGGAACCAGUGAUUUAAAUAAAGUUGAACAGGUUCCUCUACUGCAGGAAUUUAUAACUUUUAAUAAGUAUGCAACAUUUCCCAAACUUAUUUCACUGAACUUUUUUUUUUUUUGGUCCCAUGCAACACCUAUUAACAUCUUUGGGAACACAGUUUCAGAGAUGCUGGGUUAAUAGGAACUAGGAAUUCCCAUGGAGGAGGCUGUG
Ceratotherium simum simum (southern white rhinoceros) is the source of this 631-nucleotide non-coding RNA. NCBI's taxonomy places the organism in Eukaryota, Metazoa, Chordata, Mammalia, Perissodactyla, Rhinocerotidae. The record is from RefSeq and is a predicted model, not a curated record.